AUGCAAUGUGCUCUAAUGUUAUCAUUCCCAAACUCAGUCAGGCUCUGCAGAUAGAGUUUCUACCUCUCUGUUAAUCGAAUAUGUACGUGCUGAUUUUUCUGCAUGUUACCCUGAUGCGAAGUUGUUUGAUGUGGUCUCGUUCUAAUGAUAUCACUUUCAAACCCAAUGAGGCUCUGCAGAUGGAGCUGAUUGGAAAAGCCAAUGUGUGAGACC
Long non-coding RNA from Eucalyptus grandis, 213 nucleotides. RefSeq lists it as uncharacterized. The record is from RefSeq and is a predicted model, not a curated record. Lineage: Eukaryota; Viridiplantae; Streptophyta; Magnoliopsida; Myrtales; Myrtaceae. The transcript has 3 exons.